Molecule: ribosomal RNA, 484 nt
Filed under: uncultured bacterium
Lineage: Bacteria
Description: partial 16S ribosomal RNA
Rfam family: Bacterial small subunit ribosomal RNA
Source: RNAcentral
AUUGAACGCUGGCGGCAGGCCUAACACAUGCAAGUCGAGCGGAUGAAGGGAGCUUGCUCCUGGAUUCAGCGGCGGACGGGUGAGUAAUGCCUAGGAAUCUGCCUGGUAGUGGGGGAUAACGUCCGGAAACGGGCGCUAAUACCGCAUACGUCCUGAGGGAGAAAGUGGGGGAUCUUCGGACCUCACGCUAUCAGAUGAGCCUAGGUCGGAUUAGCUAGUUGGUGGGGUAAAGGCCUACCAAGGCGACGAUCCGUAACUGGUCUGAGAGGAGGAUCAGUCACACUGGAACUGAGACACGGUCCAGACUCCUACGGGAGGCAGCAGUGGGGAAUAUUGGACAAUGGGCGAAAGCCUGAUCCAGCCAUGCCGCGUGUGUGAAGAAGGUCUUCGGAUUGUAAAGCACUUUAAGUUGGGAAGAAGGGCAGUAAGUUAAUACCUUGCUGUUUUGACGUUACCAACAGAAUAAGCACCGGCUAACUUCGUG